UUAACGCGAAGAACCUUACCAAGGCUUGACAUAUACCGGAAAGCAUCAGAGAUGGUGCCCCCCUUGUGGUCGGUAUACAGGUGGUGCAUGGCUGUCGUCAGCUCGUGUCGUGAGAUGUUGGGUUAAGUCCCGCAACGAGCGCAACCCUUGUUCUGUGUUGCCAGCAUGCCCUUCGGGGUGAUGGGGACUCACAGGAGACUGCCGGGGUCAACUCGGAGGAAGGUGGGGACGACGUCAAGUCAUCAUGCCCCUUAUGUCUUGGGCUGCACACGUGCUACAAUGGCCGGUACAAAGAGCUGCGAAGCCGCGAGGCGGAGCGAAUCUCAAAAAGCCGGUCUCAGUUCGGAUUGGGGUCUGCAACUCGACCCCAUGAAGUCGGAGUUGCUAGUAAUCGCAGAUCAGCAUGCUGCGGAAA
Molecule: ribosomal RNA, 415 nt
Filed under: Streptomyces peucetius
Lineage: Bacteria; Bacillati; Actinomycetota; Actinomycetes; Kitasatosporales; Streptomycetaceae
Description: bacterial SSU rRNA
Rfam family: Bacterial small subunit ribosomal RNA
Source: RNAcentral